UUUUCAUCAGACAAUCUGUGUGAGCACUGCAAAGUACGCUUCUUUAAGGUAAGGAGGUGAUCCAACCGCAGGUUCCCCUACGGUUACCUUGUUACGACUUCACCCCAGUCAUGAAUCACAAAGUGGUAAGCGCCCUCCCGAAGGUUAAGCUACCUACUUCUUUUGCAACCCACUCCCAUGGUGUGACGGGCGGUGUGUACAAGGCCCGGGAACGUAUUCACCGUGGCAUUCUGAUCCACGAUUACUAGCGAUUCCGACUUCAUGGAGUCGAGUUGCAGACUCCAAUCCGGACUACGACGCACUUUAUGAGGUCCGCUUGCUCUCGCGAGGUCGCUUCUCUUUGUAUGCGCCAUUGUAGCACGUGUGUAGCCCUGGUCGUAAGGGCCAUGAUGACUUGACGUCAUCCCCACCUUCCUCCAGUUUAUCACUGGCAGUCUCCUUUGAGUUCCCGGCCGGACCGCUGGCAACAAAGGAUAAGGGUUGCGCUCGUUGCGGGACUUAACCCAACAUUUCACAACACGAGCUGACGACAGCCAUGCAGCACCUGUCUCACGGUUCCCGAAGGCACAUUCUCAUCUCUGAAAACUUCCGUGGAUGUCAAGACCAGGUAAGGUUCUUCGCGUUGCAUCGAAUUAAACCACAUGCUCCACCGCUUGUGCGGGCCCCCGUCAAUUCAUUUGAGUUUUAACCUUGCGGCCGUACUCCCCAGGCGGUCUACUUAACGCGUUAGCUCCGGAAGCCACGCCUCAAGGGCACAACCUCCAAGUAGACAUCGUUUACGGCGUGGACUACCAGGGUAUCUAAUCCUGUUUGCUCCCCACGCUUUCGCACCUGAGCGUCAGUCUUUGUCCAGGGGGCCGCCUUCGCCACCGGUAUUCCUCCAGAUCUCUACGCAUUUCACCGCUACACCUGGAAUUCUNNNNNNNNNNNNNNNNNNNNCCUGGAAUUCUACCCCCCUCUACAAGACUCAAGCCUGCCAGUUUCGAAUGCAGUUCCCAGGUUGAGCCCGGGGAUUUCACAUCCGACUUGACAGACCGCCUGCGUGCGCUUUACGCCCAGUAAUUCCGAUUAACGCUUGCACCCUCCGUAUUACCGCGGCUGCUGGCACGGAGUUAGCCGGUGCUUCUUCUGCGGGUAACGUCAAUUGCUGCGGUUAUUAACCACAACACCUUCCUCCCCGCUGAAAGUACUUUACAACCCGAAGGCCUUCUUCAUACACGCGGCAUGGCUGCAUCAGGCUUGCGCCCAUUGUGCAAUAUUCCCCACUGCUGCCUCCCGUAGGAGUCUGGACCGUGUCUCAGUUCCAGUGUGGCUGGUCAUCCUCUCAGACCAGCUAGGGAUCGUCGCCUUGGUGAGCCGUUACCUCACCAACAAGCUAAUCCCAUCUGGGCACAUCUGAUGGCAAGAGGCCCGAAGGUCCCCCUCUUUGGUCUUGCGACGUUAUGCGGUAUUAGCCACCGUUUCCAGUAGUUAUCCCCCUCCAUCAGGCAGUUUCCCAGACAUUACUCACCCGUCCGCCACUCGUCAGCAAAGCAGCAAGCUGCUUCCUGUUACCGUUCGACUUGCAUGUGUUAGGCCUGCCGCCAGCGUUCAAUCUGAGCCAUGAUCAAACUCUUCAAUUUAAAAGUUUGAUGCUCAAUGAAUUAAACUUCGUAAUGAAUUACGUGUUCACUCUUGAGACUUGGUAUUCAUUUUUCGUCNNNNNNNNNNNNNNNNNNNNGA
RNAcentral lists this ribosomal RNA (1722 nucleotides) under Salmonella enterica subsp. enterica serovar Paratyphi A. RNAcentral describes it as "16S ribosomal RNA". The record is from RNAcentral. Lineage: Bacteria; Pseudomonadati; Pseudomonadota; Gammaproteobacteria; Enterobacterales; Enterobacteriaceae.